RNAcentral lists this ribosomal RNA (826 nucleotides) under uncultured bacterium. RNAcentral's name for it is "bacterial SSU rRNA". It matches the Rfam family "Bacterial small subunit ribosomal RNA", at positions 602 to 1429 of the family's 1533-position model. The record is from RNAcentral.
CAUUGGCUCAANCAAUGUAUGCUUUGGAAACUGUUAGACUUGAGUGCAGAAGGGGAGAGUGGAAUUCCAUGUGUAGCGGUGAAAUGCGUAGAUAUAUGGAGGAACACCGGUGGCGAAAGCGGCUCUCUGGUCUGUCACUGACGCUGAGGCUCGAAAGCGUGGGUAGCGAACAGGAUUAGAUACCCUGGUAGUCCACGCCGUAAACGAUGAGUGCUAGGUGUUAGGUCCUUUCCGGGACUUAGUGCCGCAGCUAACGCAAUAAGCACUCCGCCUGGGGAGUACGACCGCAAGGUUGAAACUCAAAGGAAUUGACGGGGGCCCGCACAAGCGGUGGAGCAUGUGGUUUAAUUCGAAGCAACGCGAAGAACCUUACCAGGUCUUGACAUCCCGAUGCCCGCUCUAGAGAUAGAGUUUUUCUUCGGAACAUCGGAGACAGGUGGUGCAUGGUUGUCGUCAGCUCGUGUCGUGAGAUGUUGGGUUAAGUCCCGCAACGAGCGCAACCCUUAUUGUUAGUUGCCAUCAUUGAGUUGGGCACUCUAGCGAGACUGCCGGUAAUAAACCGGAGGAAGGUGGGGAUGACGUCAAAUCAUCAUGCCCCUUAUGACCUGGGCUACACACGUGCUACAAUGGUUGGUACAACGAGUCGCAAGCCGGUGACGGCAAGCCAAUCUCUGAAAGCCAAUCUCAGUUCGGAUUGUAGGCUGCAACUCGCCUACAUGAAGUCGGAAUCGCUAGUAAUCGCGGAUCAGCACGCCGCGGUGAAUACGUUCCCGGGCCUUGUACACACCGCCCGUCACACCACGAGAGUUUGUAACACCCAAAGUCG